This is a non-coding RNA of Anas platyrhynchos (mallard), 19650 nucleotides long. The record is from RefSeq and is a predicted model, not a curated record. Lineage: Eukaryota; Metazoa; Chordata; Aves; Anseriformes; Anatidae.
GGGGAGAAAACAUGAUGCAGAGGGCUCAAGGGUUGAGAUAAGGAUGGGGAGAUCACUCAACAAUUAUUGUGACAGGCAAAACAGAUUCAGAGUAGGGAGACAGUAAAAUUUAUGACCUCUUACUAACAAACUAGAGAAGUGAGAAACAAAGGAAAGAAACAGAAAAUGCCUUCCCCCCCAUCCACCCUCUUCCCCCUGAGCAGCGCAGAGGAAUGGGGGCUAUGGUCAGUCCCUUGAUACUUCAUCUCCGCUGCUCCUUCAUGGUCACUCUCUGACCCUGCUCCAUGUGGGCUCUCUCCCAUGGGAUGCCGUCCUUCCUGAACUGAUCCUGCAGGAGCUGCCCACAGGCAGCAUCUCUUCAAGAAUGCUCCCACAUGGAGCCCUUUUCCAUCAUAUUUUUCCCCUUUACUUUGCCAGAGGAGUUGUGGUGGAGUUCAGCUAUGUAUCAAGUGAAACCUCCACCCUCAUUCAACUGCAUUGUUACACAGGAACUGUUAAAUUAUCUUCCUCUCCCUUCAGAUUUAAGUCACUGAAUGUUGUUUCAUGUAAAUGUAAAUUCUUUAUAGGCAGCUCAUUUUUGAAAUGAAGCAAAAAAGCGUUGUAAAUAUAGAUCCUUUCUCUGUUUUCUGCUCAGUAAAAGUAGGAAACUGAGAAAAACCUGUCUUUUGAGUGCAAACUGUGUUGUUGCUUCAUAGAGGUAUUUUUUGUGUUAGGAUCUAUUAGACACAUUUUCUAAUGUUGUGACCGUUUAUCCGAGUGAUUCAGAUUGUAUCAGUAACCAGCUCCCUCAUUACUCACUGUUCCAUGAAUCUUUGUCAACUAAAACACUUAACCACUAAAGAUUUUCUGUUCUCAUUCAUCAGAAAUAUCCCCGGAUCAUCAAUUAAAAAUAUUGAUGAGAAUUAGACCAAAAAUGAUCUUUUAGGAACCUCACUACUUAGUUGCCUAAUUAAUUAAUAUUUUCUCAGUCACUUUAUUUUCAGAUGUGCAGGUAGUUUUGAAUAUUUAUAGUCUGUGUUGAUGCUUCUGCGUACCGCCAUUUUUAAAACAGUAAGAUUAUCGAAUCAAGAUGUCAUAGUAGCAAGUCAGAUUUAUUUACUUAUUUUAAAAUCCAAGUAGUUCAUCAAAAGAAAUGUUUUCAACACCCAAACUCAUAUACUGUCAAAAAAUGCCAGUGGUUCAUUUUACAAGACCUGGCUACUAUGGAACUUGUUGACAAAAGUUGUUUUAAUUUUUAGCAUCUAUUUCUUAGUUGAUGGUCUCUAUUGUUGAAUGAUCUAUUUAGAUAUUUUAGGAGCUGCAUCAAGGAAGUUAGACUCUAAGUCCUUAUCAAUGACACUGUUUUUUUCUUUUUUCUUUUUUUUUCCUUUUAUAUAAAAUGUAUACAAUCUUAACUGUGGAUCCAAAUUUACAUUUCUGUAAUUGGGUAGAAAUAAUCAAGUUUUUCAAAAGAUGUAUUAAUAAUUUCCAAAUUAUUUGAGAAAGUCACAUCUACAACAUUAUCUAUUGUGGGACACCUAGUAAUUUACAGGUGACUUGUUAUUAUUAUCACUAAUACGUCUCUAAUUUUUGUAUUCCCAAUAUAUACCUAGUGUAAUAACUGCUUAAUUUUUUCAGAAACUGGCUCAUUGAAAUGUUCUUAUCACAUUCUUUAUUGUGCCAUAUAUUGGUCAAACAACAUAAAUGCAAUGUAAUACCUGUUUUUCAAGUCAGACUGUACAUUUAAAAGACAGUGAUUAAAUCUUCUUUGGUCUGCGAGGCUCAGUAUUGAGUUACCUCUGUUGGAUGCUGAGCAUGCUCACUAAGGAAAUUAUUGUGCACUAUUUUUGAAAGCUAUAAAUUUUGAAUGUUUUCCAGAUUGUUAGGUAUACGAAUGCAUUUUUUGACCCUCUUGCACAUCGUUGACAGCUAUUAAAGGAAAUUUUUGCCUGUUUUCUAGUGAUACUUGCUAUUUGGAAGAAGUGGAGUGGAUGUCCUCCAGUAUCCCAUCUUUGAUUUUGUGAGUCAGACUUCUCAUAUUCUAAAUUAUCUGCUGAAAAGUUAAUGUAGACACAGUACCAUGUCACUGAUAAGCUUCAAUUUGAUUGAGCUUCAAAAGAUUCAAUUAUGAUCCAUUCCACUGGAUUUCAGUAGUAUUUCCCAUACUUUAUUUAUUUUUUCUCUAUAUGCGAAAUACUUCAAUUCCUCUGACCUGUUACCUAGGUAGAUAGUAUUUGUGGAUGGGCAUUUAAUUUUUUUUCUUUUUUUUAAGGUAUGUUCCUUCAUAGAUUCGGUAUGUUUGGUUUUAUGUUGUUUUGAGACUAGCUUACAGCAAAAACAGCAAAGUCUUUAUGCCAUAAUUAUUCUACUGAAUGAACAACCUUCUGGUUAACUGACCACGUUUAUUCCCUCGGAGAGUGAGGUAUUACAAAGACAGAGGGCAACUGAAGCAAAACCUACCUCUUGGUACCCUACCAACGUUUUAGCUCAACCACAGAUUGCCUUACAGAUUUUGCAAAUUCCUUCUUUUUGAGGGAAAAGGGGCAUCAUAUAUGACAUGACUUUUCAGAUAUUAAUUUCCUUAAAUAACCCUAAGUUCUUCCAGGAUCAGUGGAAUGCAGGUUGAUAAGACAUCAGAGGUGCCAACAGAGGCUCAUUGCCAGAGGAAUUGCUCUUUCUCACCUUUACACUUUCAUUUCUGGAAGGCAGAAAACUCUCCUGCUUGUUCAUUAGCACAGUGAACAUUACCUCCACAAGAAUGCUUUCAUAACCUUGUUGUGUGUCUGUGCAUUUUGAACUGGCCAGUAGAUGAGUUCUUUCCUCCAGCUGCUUGUUGCUUCUCUUCAGAUGCCUCAUUCAGCACAUUAUUGCUUAGGUCCAUCUGUGAAGACAUCCUUUCAGUCCUCCUCCUUGGUGUAUUAAUGACAACUUGCAAAUUGACAUUGCAAUUGGGUACAUUAAUGAAAUAAAUAACUUUAAGAUGCAUCUUCAGUCUUUUGCAAACUACAAGUGCUGUACACUGUCACCAACAAUAUGAUCAUUAGUACGCCUUGACCUAUUUCAAAAUUGUGGAAGUAAGAAAUACGUUCAUUAUUUUUCCAAACACAUUUCUCACAAAUGAAUGAUUUGUCUGGAGAAAUAAAAUUGCACUUAUUUCUGCAUGAUUUCCAGAAUUACGCUGUGAACAUAUAAUUUUGUAAGAUAGACAAGAAGUAAAAACUUUACAAGAAACAAAUCAUCCAUCAGAUAUCAAUUAUACUGUGUUUUAUUACCUAGAUAAUAGCAAGUCUAAGGUUUCCUGGGAAUUUAAAACAAACUAUUAUGUAAUUUCAAUAGGGGCUCCCCCAUUAUUUUCUCGGAUUUGUGCUUUCUCUUCUACUGGCACUGACCUUUAAACAUCCAUUUUUUAUGUUUUGACCGAAGCCAAAAAGAUCAUUGCUUUUAUACGAAAAGAACUUGUACAACAUGAAUCUCUCUUCUCUUAUUAUGAUAUGUUUAUUUGUGAUCCAGUGUAGUAAUUUACAAGUGUGCUUAUGAGAGAACCUGCACUCACAGGCAUUAAACUGGCUAGGCAGAAAAUCCUGGUUAUGUGAGAAAAGAACUUUCUUCCACUUAAUUUAAAUGCGAUGUUGAAAUAAAACAUUAGCACAAAGAGAUUUAAAAGUAUCAUAUUUUAGAGAUUGAGUUAUUGUUGUAUUGUGGUAAUAAUACACCGUUUUCAUAGGUCAUCAAACUCAUAAUGAAAAGGAUUGAUUAAUUUUGUGAACCUAUACAGAAAAUUAAGGCUAUUUAAAGUAUUCAUGAUACAGACCCCUGAAAUAACAAGUGCCUUAUUAAGAAGAAGUUCUGUUGCUAGGAGACAGUAACCACAGUGUCAGAAUAACAUGUUUUUAUUUCAUAUAAGAAAUGCUUUUUAAUGCACAUAGUUAGAUAAUGAGCAAGGAUAGCUAUGCGAUAUAAAAGACUGGGCGAGUGCUUAAUUUGUGAGAUGGAAAGCCAAUAAAAAGUGCAAGUCUUUAUACCUGAAUAGUGUUGUGUGCUACAAGAGCAGACUGGUGUAGAUCUGUUUGAAGUUUGACUAGGAGCAGGUAGACAGGCUGCUCCAAAGUACUCAGAUGAAGUAAUUCCAAUUCAUAAAUCAAAUAGGAAUAAAUAAAGAUAAUACACAGCUUUAAAGGAUGAGGUGUUUAUACAGCUGUUUAAUCUUGUUGAUACAUAAUCAAGUUAAGCAUCGGAAAGAACGGUGUGAGUCAUAAUGCCAUGUAAUAAACUGUCUAAAAACAAAGUCUGCGAAAACAGAGAGACAAGAAGGAUCAUUAUCACCAGAAGGAAUAGGAUACUGCAUUAUAGGAGAUACAUAGAAAGCUUUGGGAUGACCACAGCUAAAGAAAUACCAAAGUAGCUGAAUCUUUGUAGAAACAAUGUCCUGACUAAUAUCCACCACUUGCCUUAACUAGGGAAAUUCUGAAAAAAAAAAAAACUAUAAAAAAAAUCUAUACAUAUGGAUUGAAAGAAUUUGACCAGAAAUCAUGAUCCACCUCACUAAUGUGUAGUCGUAAAAGUGUGGCAAAUGGGCAAGCUUGUUGAAUUCUGCCAAGGCAGCACCCUAAAGCUCACCCCACUCUUUGAUUGUGUGCGUAUUCUCCAUGGUGGUCCAACCUACCCCGUUCUGCUAGUUUCUGGGACUCUAAAAGCAAUGCUGACAGCUCUCAGCUGGAUGCUAGGCAGAUAUGGACUUGUGCCUUUAAUUCUCAUUCAGGCUGUAAGUACACAGGCAUUGGUGUAUGAGUUGUUCAUACAGGAGGAGAUAAUUUAUAACAGAAACAUCUUGUCGCUCUCCCAAACCUGUGUUCUAUAUCUUUCCAAUUAAAGCAGCCUGGAAGCUGGAUGGGCAGAAAAAUGGCUAGGCAGCAACCCCCAGGCUGUUGGUUCAGGCACACUGAACUGCUCUUUAGUUGUUCUUUCUUAAAUUCUUUCAAACUUUAUACUGAUUAAAACAAAAUAUUUAUUUUAAGAAGUGAAUCUACAUUUUGAGAAGUACGCCCUUGCUAAGUCAUUAAUUUAAUUACUUAACUAAUGCUGAUUUCAUAUUGUAUCAAAGCUUCCCAGGAUGUCUGUGACAAGGUGUGCUUGGCUGCUAUCAGUAGCUGACACAAUGGGGCUCUGCCCUCUUACCAAUAAGAGUGUGUGGGUGGAUAGCCUUAAAAUGAUUUAAAAUAUUUACUUGUGUUCAAAGUUUGUAUGUUGUCCCCACCACCACCAUCUACUUUGUACAUCUUCUUUUUUGCAAAAUGCUGGUAGAUUUUUUCACAGAAAGACAAGUUAAAUAUUUGUAAGUCAGAAUUUUAGUUCUUACAAAUGUGAAAGUGUUCUAAGUUUAAUCAUUCAAGCAACAGAGAAAGAAAUACAGGCUGAUAUUUGCAGCCAAUGAAAAGUAAUAAAAGUGCACAUUUUGUAUGUAAACACUUUUUUUAUUUUUUAUUUUUACUUCCCCAGGAUCAACCUAUAUGGGCUAAAGGCUGAUUUAUAGAAAUUGCUCAGUAAUGAAUACAUUUGUGAUUUAUAUGAAAUCAUAAAAACCGCUGCUGGUUAAUUCACAAAGGGGGGGAAACCAAAAAAAUACAAAGCAUAAUUAAUUUGAAUAAUUUAUUCCUCUAUAAAGUCAGCUGUUCAAGUUGAAACACAUUUCUAUCCCACUCCCAGAGGCUUUAUGCCCAAAUUAAGGAGCAGCCAGAGGGGACAUGCAUUUUGCACAUGAUCAAAACAUCACUUGAAAAUAAACUUGGGACAAAUUCUAGUUUGACUGGAUUCCUAGCUAAGGGCCAUGCUGAGAAUGUCCUGCACGUUCUCUGUUGGUGCUAAUGGCAGAAACUGAGGAAGUCCCCCUUUCAUUGUUCAGCGAAACCUUUGGAAACCUUUCAAUAUGGUUCAGAUGAUGCCUGAGAAUGGAUUACUGCUACAAGAUCAUGUAUUUUAUUAAGAUAUACCUGCCUUUGGUCUAAGCUCAGGUAAUUUCUAGAGCUGUUUAUAGGCUCACUGUUAGCAGAUAGCUGUUAGUGGGUAAGAAAAGUGCCCUUCACGAUUUUACAUGUUUCCACAGAAGCUGUUGUCCAUCCAGAAGCCAAUCACAAAAUCCCCAAUCCUUCAUCAAAUUCUGGUACAUAUAUACUGCAAUACUGUUGCCUUGUCCUGUUAAGAGCAGCAUUGGUCAUAUAAAGUUAGCUCUGUCUUUUCAGUCCAGUUUACAAAGAAUACAUGUUUCCUGAGCAGAGCAGGAAAAAAAAAUAAAAAAAAAGAAAAGAAAAAUCUUCCUAUUUCAAGAAAUCUGAGUCAUCUUUGCUUCCAGUCCUGAGCUCAUGGGCAUUCUUCAUUUCAGAUGCCCCCUUGUAAAUCUCCUUUUUCCUUGCUUCCGUGCUUGAACUGCUGCAACCUGCUCUCCAUUUGCAGGCUGUUUACAUGCUCAUGAUGGUCAUGUAGCAUACCUUCUGCUCAGACCUUGCCUUGCUUGUCUGUACCCAAAGCCAUCAGUUUGUGUUCAUGUUCAUCUCCAGAUUCUCAUGAGAAACUAAGUGGGAAGAUUUUUUCUCUCCAGUGUUUCAACUAUCACUGCAUAGGAGGGAGUGUGGUUACUACCCCUCACUGAUACUCUUGAUGACUGAAUUCAGGAUGGUGAGGUGUGUUUUAGAGAUGUCCAUUAAUAUUGUUAGCAUCGGGACAGCAAUUGCACAGAAGCCUCUAUUCUCUAACAUGUAGGUGGGACUUUCAAUCAGGAUUGAGAUUAUGCUGUACAGAAAGAGCAGCUGUACUUGGCAAAUAAUUUGUCAGGUUUGGGAAAUAAGCCCUCUGAGGACUUGUAAAAACAGCAUGUUUUUAUUUCACGAUUUUUUUAAAUUUUGUAUUUUUUAUCAAAAUGUCUGUCUAUAGUGCAGAGCUGAGAAUUAAUGAAUUAAAAGACCAGAAACAUUAUAUCUAAGUAAAAUAGAUAAGCCACCAAAGGGUAUUUUCAAAAGAAACAACUCACUGACAAAGUCUUGUAGGUGCUGCUGUUUUUUAAAAACAGUUUCUUUAUUAUAAAUUAAUAAUUUGUAUUAUUCUUUGUAAUCAGUGUUACUUCAUUUAGGCAUGUAGUUAUGGAAAGCAAAAAAAAAAAAAAAAAAAAGUGUCCUAAAUAUGUUGCCUUAUGUUUCUCUUUUCUGCUGAGGUCAAGUUCAUUAUUGAAGCUUGGUGACUGUUUUUUCAUAGUGCCACUGCCAGAUGACAUUAAAAUUACAAAUACAGAACUAGAUUAAAAGAACAUGAUUAAGAUUGCAAAGUCAGGAAAAAUCAUAAUUAAGGUUGCCUGUGCAAUUUUAACUCAGUUCCUGUGUGCAUAUCCAUCCUGAUAAGAGUGUUUAAUUACACAGUCAUGGUCAUUUUUUUUUCCAUGGGGCGCUUUCCCAGUCAGUGAGCAGCACCAGUCCUGACGUAAAGUAGCUAUUCAGAACUGAUUUUUCUCCCUAGUUUUAGUUAUUAUAUAUCUCCAGGCCUCUCUCACUGCUGGCUAGCCAAGUCUUGUUAAGGAGAGGGAAUUACUAAUUUCUUUGCGUCUCUUUGGCAGUGUUUAUCACUGUUAUAUUUCAUGGGUCCUUCAAACAAUGAUGAAUGUAUUUUCACAUUGGUGUUAUUACAUUUUUAUAAAGGGGAAUAGAGAUACAUUUUUGUGAUUGAAGUUUUUUGCUAUUUUUUAUCCAAUUCGAGGUAUUUACAACUUGGUAUUUGGGUCAAAUGCGAUGCUACUAAAACUUAGUGACUUCUGUGCAUCUGUUCCAUCACUUAGCUUCUCUUGGAUGUCUGGGGUUAGCAAUGAGGAUGCAGAGUCAAGGUCGCUGCUUUCUGACCUGGACUUGAGAUGUCCCAUACUGGCCCAGAACUGUGAGUACUGGGGAAACCUAAGGCCAAAAUAGAUGCUUGAAAUUCUGAGUCUUGAAUUCUCUCCUGAAAGUGUAGGUAGUGUAGAAGCUUUCAGAAAGUGAUGGUCAGGAGGUGAUGGAUACGAUCUUUCAAACAGGAGAGGAAUGGCUGUAUCUUUUCUGUCCAGUGUGCUAUCAGUUGCUUCUCACCUAGACUGACAUAUAGGCUGCUACUUCUCUUCUUCCUAAGGGUAUGCAAACCUCUUUGAUACCUUAGGGAGGUGCUCUAUCAGAAGAUUAUAUUGGAGACAGAACAUCUUACUGACUCUUCUUAAAACAGUUAUAAUUUUAUGCAUUUUUUUUUCACUUAUUGUUGUCCUGGAUUAGAGGACAAAAGAGAAGAAGUAGUAAGAUUAUUUCAUAUAAAGAUCAGGAUUAUUCCUAUUUCACUGUAUUGUAACUGCUGUAUAACAGAAAUUCCUUUCCUUAACUGUAACAACAUACCUGACUAAUGCUUUUGACUGAACUACCCUGUCUUCCACAGCCCCUCAGAAGAACUCAAAUUCAAGACCAAAUACCCAAGUAUAGGCAAAUAAAAGUAGCCUGAAGCAGAAAUGUAAAUGAAAUGGUUGAUUCUCAUUCUUUUUUAUUUAUUUUGCAAAUUUAAGAAAUUAUAAUUUAAAUUGAUUGUGAGAACUGUAAGAACAGAUAAAAUUAGAAAGAACUUAACCAGAAAGAAAGGAAAAUGGAAAUUAUGUUCAUCUUCUGUCCUGUUGGGAUUGGGUUGGUACCAGCUUGGUAUUCACCAGUUAUAAUUUUUUCUAAAUCUUUCAUUGACCUUACUAACAAAAACCUUUUGAAAUUCAGUGAGGACAACUGUGAAGCCCUGUACCUGGAAAGGAAGAACCCCUUGAAACAGCACAGGCUGUGGACUGCUGGCUGGGGAACAGCUCCGGUGAAAGAGACCUGAAGGUCUUGGUGGGCCACAAGCUGAACAAAUCAGCCACCAGAGCCCUGUGAGCUCUUCUGUAUGGCAUAGGACUGCACGGCAGCGAUCUCCCCUUGAGCAGGGACACCUCUCAAGGUUACUCCUGCAGGUUGAGAGAUCCCUUUCCCAGCAUCUGAUGUUCACAACAAGUGACCAAUGGAAAAUCAUAGUGUCUGACACCAGGAGAGAGAAGAAGCAGGAGAGAUCUGUGAAAAAUGCCUGCAAGAAAUGAAGCACAGUGUGGAUGGAGAUGAUUCACAUCUCUGCAGUGAUUCUUCAGUAAAAGUCAGUGAAAAUCUGCUGGUGGCGUUCAGUGGAGCGAAAUCAAACCUGUUGGCCUUCAUCUUGGAAAGCUGUGUGCACUUGCUUUUGCAAUCUGCUCACAGACUCAAGGACUGGACAGACACAGCUAUUCUGGCUGCAACAGGAUCCAAAAAUUACUAUCCCCGGCCUGCCCUUUGCUGCUCAUUUCUUCUCCUGAUACCAAAGGUUUCUCAUCAAGAAAACACUUCCUUUGAGCUUCUUUCUUUUCUGUUUGGAGCAAGAUGUUGGUAAAAAGCAGCUUUCUGGCAUCUCCAGACUUGCUGGACUCACAGUUGUCUCUGCGGAUGAAUAAGGGGCUUGCUCUUGCUCACCUUCUAAGAAAACUCUGUGCUAUGAAAAUCAGGUUUUAAAUGAACUCACGUUCAUUUGAAUUUCAGCUAGACCAUCCCUGUCACAUGGAGUGACAAAGCCAAGCAAAUUUCCAUAUGAUGUAAAACAAGUGUGGUAAAGGGACAAAAGUGGUUGUGAUGACUAGAGCAUGCUCCCAGAAAAUGAAAGCAUCUAAACAAAAUAUGAGGAAGCAAGAAUGUUUGAGAUCCGUUCAAAAUUGCAUGGUGUGAUUGCUAUAAGCUGAUAGCUUGACUUCUCACCUGCCAACCCUCACUGUUUUUUUUCAUACUGUUGUAUGAAAUCUGGGUAAGAGCUUUUCCUUUGAGUAUCUCUUUAUUAAAACCCUAACACAAUUUAAGGAAAUGGGAAAAAUAAUACAGUAAUAGUAAGACGGUAUAAAUGCUAGUGCUUGUAUCACUCUUCUUUCUUCAGAAGCAGGCAUUUUGUACUUACGUUUAUUUUCUUAUCUGAAAAAGAUAAUAUAAUAAUAGAAAAGUUAAAAAUCAGGGCUUCUUCCUGAGUGGUUGUCACUCAGGAAGCUUCUGGAAAGCAAAUGCAAAUGUCCAUUAAACACAUACACAACAGAGAGGGUGGGCCUAAAUUAUUAAUCUGUUGUGAUCUGUGGGAGGGGGAUAAGCAAAGCAUAGCCAGUGGUUCCUGAUGGUGCUGAGCUUGUCACACUGGCCCUGGUGUGAAGAAAUACCACUUGGAAGGGUUGAAGGCAAGCUUGUGCAUGCAGGUCGAGGACAAUGUAUUUACUGUGAAUGUUUAUAAUUUCUCUGAUAAUAGAUUGUCAUGUUCAGUGCAGAGAACAAAGAGCAACUCUCACCUCUCCUUCCCUUGAAUAUCAAGUCACCUCAUCCUGUGAUGUACAAGGCAAAGUAAUUGCAUCUCAACUGUGUGGUGCGUUUUUGUUUAGAAGCUGUGGUCUGAUAUUCUUCAGUAGCUCCCAUGCCAGCCCUGCAUGUGAUGUAGCACAUCAACAUGAUGCAUAUGAUGAAUAGUGAAGAAGAUACAUCUAAAAGCUGCAAUGUAGUUCAAGAACCAUAAGCCAUUCAUCCUCAUUUUAGAGCACUGAGAAGAACAUGGAAAACCAUGUCAGAUGGAUUUUUCCUAUGCUUUCCAUAUAGGACGUUGAUGCUUAACCUUUCACAGUUGAGCAAGCCAUAUGGACAUAUAGUGGCAGGAGGGGACAACAGGCUCUGCCCCCCUUCUGUUCAUGAAAGUGACCCACCACAUUGGAAUAAAGGACAUUUGUAUCCUCAUGUGCCUCAACAGUAUGAGCUGGUCCGGGGAAGCAGUCAGCUCUGCCCUUCAAACUGCGAUUGCAUGCCACCCUUGUGUGCUGCACAGGUUUUUUGUUCACUGGGUGAUCUUGAACUGGCCUUGCUAAAAGCUUCCUGUGACAUUUCCAAAGGAGAUAAAUCUACCUAAAACCCUGGGAAGCAGGUGAAACAGCUCCUCUGUUUGAAGGGAUGGAAAGUGAUUUUUUCCUGAAUCUCUCAUCAGAAAGCAUGCGCUCCUGUUGAUUGCCAUUUCCUAGGCAGUGAAUGAGCAGCGAUGAACUGCCAGUUGCCAUGUCAGAGCCCCUCGCCACACCAGCCACCAAUUUCUGAGCCCUGAUAACCUUUAUGGGAUGUUCUGUGGAGGAGGAUCGCACUGCUGAUGUGAUGAUUCAGAACCUGUACCUACUGCGUGAUGCAUUUCAUUAGUGUCUAUCCAGCACAGGGGGUCAAUUUCCAUCAUUGGCUUGAAAUGGGGAAGCAGCAGGUCUCUGCUUGCCUUGUCUCCCCCAACUUAUUUUCUUCUACUAGAACUCCAGAAAUUCUGUCCUGGAGCAAAAAAAAACCUACUCAAUGAAAGUUUCAUCUGAACUAGUACACUCCUGUGAAAAGUUAUAAUUUCAAUAUAUUGGCAUUUUUGGCAGAGUUGACUAGUGCUACCCAUGAUUACAUCUAUACCAGUAUAAGUACCGAGUGCAGUAAGUAGCUGAGUAAUCACAUAGUUGUUAGCUAAGGCUUUAUUUUAUUAUAUUUUGAUGUAUUACUUCUUAAUAAAUUGGAACUUAUAUGUGAUGUAUUGCUUAAUAAAACUCAUAUCUGAAAUUCAACACAUUUAUGGGAAACAGGCUAUGGGUAAUCCUCAAGCUAAAGCUACUUAAAUGUACUGGAUCUGCCUUAUUUUGCAAAAGGAAACAGUCACUCUCCCCCAACCUCUGUUGUAUCAGAGGUGAGUUAGAGAAGAAAAAAGCAAUGACUAACUAUGACAACAGUGUUAUGUCAGUAAGUUUUGUGUCUUUUCCAUUAGCAUCCUCUCUCUAUAUAUAUAUAUUAAUGUUCAGUUCCAAAAUUGCAUAGUAUGUUUCUUGGGAGGAUGUUUUUGCUCAUUAAUCAGAAUGUUGACCUGAACAACUGAAAGUGUCCAGUCAUUUGUUUAUAGACAAAUUUACAAAGGAAUUACAAUGCUUAACUGUGAAUGUUAAGUCUCAGCGAGUAUGAUACAUAAAACCCAAGAUAAAGUGUUUAAUAUGACACUAAGAAAAGGCUUUGAUGGAAUCAAAGGGAAGUCUUUUUACCUCAUUUGGGUAGGUGCUUUUGUUGAAAUUAUAAUGGCAGAAUCAAACUAUAUCUUUUGUUCAUUAAUAGUGUUAUUUGCAAUAAACCCUUUAAUCCUGGAAAAUAGCUUUUUGAAUUAUUUUGACAAGGGAUGAUAUGAAAACUAAGCAGAUGCUGCUCUUUCUCUACAUGUUAUACAUAUCCCAGUUCAGAGGAUGCUCAGGCCAAUACUGCAGGAGGCUUUUUGAAAAAUAGAUGCUCAGAGGCUCAAUCUGGCUGCAGUCUUAUGCCAAAAGGGAAUGUAAUAUACUCCAUUUUUGAUUUAACCCUUCUCUUUGUUUUGUUUGUUUGUUUUUUCUCUAUAAAGUGUCAGUCUUACACAAGCCAAUUACAUAGGGAACUCUUGUACCAAUACAAUCUGCUUAAAGACAUACUGCAUAUUACCUUAAAAAGUAUGUGCAAUUGGAGUCAACUUUUUGAAAUAAAAUGCUUUUCCUCUCAUUGCACAUUGAUUUCAGCAUUACUGUGAUUCUGGUGCAAGUAUUAUAUCUGCAAGAGCUGCAUCUUUAUAUAAAAGUGUGUUGUUUUUGUUUUGCUAUGUUUUGUUUUUAGUUCAUGAAAGAGAUGAAGAAAAAAAAGAUCACUAUGAAAAGAAUAAAUGAAUGUUUAAGUAGAAAUUCAUGGAUCCUAAAAGUCCUCCUUAAUGCAGUGACCUUUGUCUAAUAAUUUCAUAUUUGGAUAGUUUGUUUUAUCUUUUAAGUGCAUUGUAACAAAUACACCCAUACUCUGCAGCCAUAAGCAUAGUGUGCACGAAGAGCAAAAACUUGUUUCUCACAGCUUUUCCUAAAGUACCAUUUGUUUUUUUUUUUAUGUCAGAUCAAAAUAAAUAAAUAAAUAAAUAAAUCACCCAGCUCUACUAAUUCCCUCACAGAAGCUGUCAAACGAAAGUCCUGGCUGCCAACUCUGCUAAAAGUUUCCUGGUGCCCCAGUUGCAACGGGUGAUAGUCCUCCACAGGCUUCCAAGUGAAAUGUGAUCAUUUCUUGCCCAUCCUUGUGUUCUCAACACCAUCCAAUUAAUGGUGGCCCCCGACCAGCAAAGAUCUCCAGCAGUGAAUAUUAUUGCUAACCCAACUGAGCACCUGCUGGUAAGGUCUCCCUGUUUCCCUCUGCACUCUAAAUACUCUCAUUGUUUAUUCAUAGAGUCAAAGAUUAAAGCCAGAAAGGACCACUGUGAUCAUCUAACCUCUAAUCAGAAACCUUUCCAAUUUUGUCAGCCUUCUCAUUCACUUGCUGACAUUAGCUGUGGAUGCAGAAUGCAGUUUACAGAGACCCCAUUUAUCUGUUCAUCUACCUCUGUAACAGGUUUUGCAGGACUGGUUUCUGCUCUCCAUCGCAGUUGUGAGCUCUGCCUCGGAUACCUGUCUCAAGUCUAUCUCAGAGGUCCCAGUGUUUAAGACCUGUAGAGAUCCUGGGAUCUGAAAACUUGAUCCCAGCAAGUACUGGUAAAUGGGACUGCCUUGAUCUAGAAGGCAGCUCUGUGGACACAUGCUAUGUUAUGUCACUUGACCUUGGUGCCAGAGAAUGGAUUCUUUACCUGUUUAGGGGUAGACAUGUAAGUGUUUCUGCCUCCUUAGACUGUGUUGUCUCCAAGAAAGAGGCCUGCUGGUCUUGAAUCCCAGGCAGACGUAUAGACACUAACUAGAAUGGUGAGUCAGACUAAGCUCUGAAAAAUGAAAGAUCCAUUAAACUCUUGUGGUCAGACUUUCCUUCUGAAAGUCUUCUGGUCAGAUUUCCUUCUCCCCAUCCAUGUGUGAGUCUUUCUACUUGAUGUUUCUGAUCUGCUUUCAUUUCCCUACUGGCUGAACAGGAAAGCUAGGUGUGUAACUCCAGUUACCUGAAUCAUCUUUCUGGUCAAGGUGUCUUUCUACUUGGAAUUAUUUAAUCUCAGCUUUGCCUCUAGCCUUUGUGUUUCUCUGUCCAGCAUCCGUAAUACAAAGGUAUUACAGAUGUUUUUACCUCAAAUCAUAAGAGCAUUCAAGUCUGUGAUUCAUACAGGACCCUGAAUAAAAAGUUUCAUGAUAAAUAUCACCAUCUGGCAAAAGCUCACACUGCUAUUAUUGACAACGAUUUAUCAGAUACUUAUGUUCUUUCUCCUUCCAUUUCUUCCUUUCCUUAGUUUUAUUCUCAAUGUUUUAUUCUCAAUUGCCAGCACUUCUGGUUUUGUCUUGUGCUUUUACACCAGUUCCAGAUGUUUCUCUAGUUUUAUUUUCUCUCUUUUUCAUGAAUGAGAGCUAACUAUUGCUACUAUGAUAAAGCUGUAAGAUUCCCCAGUCUUCCUUCCAUCUAGCAAAGUGCUGCCUCUCCUUUGAGACCACUCAUAGCAUGUGAACCACAGCAUGACAACUUUGACAUUGGUAACUGUGAUUAAGUUGAGUUAAAUGCUUUGUCCAUGAAAUUAGUCUUUUCUUCCUUCUGUUUACGGAAUAUGCUUAAGGAUAUUGUUGCUUCUUUGAUAAUUAACAGAGAUUUUUCAGACGAGUCACUCAAUAUUUUUGCGGUUUUGAUGAAUUACACUCAUGAAGAAUCCUAGUGUGAAGGAAAAUAUCUUUUUCUGUGUACUUACACAUGUAUAUUUCAGUGUUUUUUGUUUUUUUUUUUUUUUUUUUUUUUUUUUUUUUUCCAAGUAUAUUUAAACCAGUAAAAUUAAAAAAUAGGUGGUUCCUGAAAGUGAAUGUGGAUAGAACACAGGGUUAGAAAAAAUAAUUUUUUUUUUUAAACAAAGUAAACUGUACUGUUAAUCCAUCCUUGGGGGAGUUUAAACUUUUUAUUCUGUCUUUAGAAUUUAAAUAUUGUCUUUGGCAGAAGAUUUUAAGCCUCAAUCAAAUGAGCUGGCAUUGACUGAUUAUGAUGUGAAUGGUGUGUGAUAUUUACAUUUAGAAACUUAUGUAGGCCAGAAAGCACUCUACGGAUUUAGGAAUGCUGAUACACCAAAAGGGUGUUUUGAACAUAAAUAUAGUGACAUUAGUAAAGCUGUAUUUGAUUCUGAAGUGGCAAAGCAGUCUUCCUUUAGCAAAAUAUACCAAUAGUCUAGUUUCACUUCUCUAUUUAAGGCUAGAGGUCCAGGUGGUACAGCUUCAGGGAUGUAACUCUGAUUGACACAGCAAUGCCAUAGAAGUCUGGCCUUAGGAAGUGACACUGAUUCUCCGAAUCUCCUGGCAGAAGUUUGCCUAGUGAUUAGCAUACAUAACUGAAAGUCAGGUUACCUAGGGCCUUUUUUUCUAGCUAGGUCAUUGGCUUGCUGGGUGACCUUUUGAGAGACUUCUCAUGUUGUUUUGCCUCUUUACUGUACAAUAGAAAAAAAAUAUCUCAGUAGGAAUGUGAAACUUAAUUAAUUAGUAUUUGUAAUGCAUUUAGUGAUUUGUAGAAUAAAAGCAUUCUAGUAAUGAAUAAUUCCUAUCCUUGCCUUAUAUUGAAAUAGUAUUAUUCUUGCCUUUAUAAUUAAAGUGGAGAUAAAACAAAAUACUACGCAGGUGACAGUGGAAAAUAGUUUGAUUCUUACCCAACAACAUAUAUGCAGCGUGUGCAAGUCCACGGAAGCAAUGAGAAACCUUAAGAAGAGAACUGAAAGACGAGGAUACUACUUUUCUUCCUCUCAUGAUUUUCUAUUUUAAAAUUGUAACAUAUAGGGAUUCUACUUGAAUAUCCUACCAUAUCUUAUAAAAAAAAUAUGUUUUAAAGCUAAUUGAAGCAUAUUAACAGUCUAUGAAAGUAUCAAAUAUGAGGAUUCCCUGUAUCAACUGCUCUCUUAGAAUAUUCAAGCAGAAUUUUUAUUUCAGCAGCUAUAUGAUAAAAAUACAUUUUCUCUUUUCCACUGUGUUCCAUUGUAUAGAUAUUUUAUUUGGUGCCUUUGUAGUUUCACUGAUAGUAUAUAGUUAUGUCUAUUAUGCUUUCAAAUAUUGCUAAAAACAUUGUUUGACUGGGAAGCAGGUGAACAUUCUAAUGACAUCCUAUUUGGAAGCUCAAACAUCUUUAAAUCCUUUCUCACACUCAAACAUUUUUUGCUUUUUGUGUUGAGGCAUUUGAGGUUUAACCCAAGUUUGUUAAUGUCCUGCCACCCUAGAGUCAGAGGCUGAAUCCAUCUGAGUCUAGGGUUGCUUCUCUCCUUCAGCAAGUCCUAAAGAAUGACUUACGUGCAAAAAUGUUUUUCCCUGCCGUCAUUUAUUCUAGUUAGAAUGCCAUUUAUUUUCUCUCUACAGACCUCAUCUGGUUUGGUAUGUAGUGGAGCUUUUCAUCAUCAAGAGAUAGCAAAUAAAGUAAGAAAGAUAUCUGCCAUGGAAAGUAUUUGCAGAAUUAAACUCUUAAGUUAAGAGUAUCAUGUACCUUUGAUUAGUUGUAAAGAGAAAGUAGCAAAGGCAUAAAUAAAGAGAUUUACUUCAUACAUCUCGUUUCUGUUUCCUGUAAUGAUAAAUAGAAAAAUUAAUAUAUCAGCACUUAAAUACUUCUACAAGUCAGAACAAAACACUCGUUCAGACGUUUAGAUGUAGAGCUUAGGGAUAUGGUUUAGUGGGGACUGUUAGUAUUAGGUCAGAGGUUGGACUCGAUGAUCUUGAGGUCCCUUCCAACCUAGAAAUUCUGUGUGAUUCUAUGUGUGAUUCUUACAUACUCAUGAAUAUACCAGUGAGCAAUGUACUGCAGCACAACUGUGCAGAACUUCAGAGGGAGAAAGUAGGAUCUUGGAAAAAUGUUAGAAAAUUCUUUUUACAUGAGCUGGAAAUCCACAAGCUUUAUUCAAAAUUUGUGUGGUAAAAUAUGCAGGUACAUGUUCAUCUAUUUGGCAAAACCCUCUGACUGCCAAGUUGCAUCAGUAUUUAAUUUGAAACUGUCAUUAUAACACUAGUAAAAGAAGUUUGUAAAGCCAAAGAAGAGACUUGAGUAAAUAGACUGCCUUUCUGUCUGUGCUUUUCUAGUCUGAGUUUCCUGUGGUGCAUUUAUAUUCAUGUCUAUCACAUUGUUAAUGAGUUUUCUUCUGUAAAUUGACCCUGACUGCUACUCAAAAAUAUAUCUUAAAUGAAGUGUGGCUUUGAGACCAGGCAGAUUAUUAAAAUAUUAAAGUAUAUACAUUGAAUCACAUAAAGAUCUUUCUUGUUGAUAUUUCAAGACUAAAUUAUUUUUUUGAAAGAUGACCUUUAAUGAACAGACUUAUGGUCCAAGUUGUCCUCAUACAAAGCUCCCUCUGGAUCUUUUAGUCAUUUACACGUCUGCAAAAUGGAUUUAAAAUAACACCACUUAACCUAGUAGCAUUUGACAGUCACUUUACUUAAAUAUGGAUGAGUGUUUAAGGUGCAAAACAGAAGAAAACUGUGUCCAUUGUCUUCUCUGUGAAAUAUGAACCCUAGAUGGUAGCAAAAAUUAGUUUAUUCUGGCUAUGACCAGCAAGCUCAAUUCUUAGUGGGAAAAAUUCAUAAAAGCAAAACAGGCUUUUUAUAAAAUUAGAAUAAAAUAUAUGUCUGGCUUAGUGGUUGCAUGCUCAGGGAAACACACACAAGUAUCACUGGAGAUUCUUGCAAAAACAUUCAUAUGCCUGACUCUAAUUGGUUAAAAUGCCAUUAUUAGGAUUUUAUCCUAAGUUCUUAUGUUUUUGAGUAUUGAUCAUCUCUCCAGUGCAAAACCUGUAAAUUAAUACACAAAUCUAUGUGUACAUAAACUCAGUGUCACUUGUAUGUAUUUCUGUUGGUAAAAUAAAAUUCUUAAUUAUUUUUGGAUACAUACAUGCACACAUACAUACAUGCACGCUAUUUUUUACCCUCCAAGUUUCAGUAAACUAUUCAGCUACUAAGUACCAUAGAAGUUGCUUGAGAUAUUGUGACCAGAUGGUUCACAGGGCUAGUAAUGGAUUAUAGUGCUUUCUAGCUCCAGAUUGCCAGUUCAAAUCUGGGUCAGGUUGACACUGUCUGAAAAUUAUUACUGUUUGGUGGCUUAUGUGAAAUGAGUUGGAGACCUCAAUAUAGUUCCUAAAGGCUGGGUUAAUAUAACACAAAUGUCACCAGAUGAUUGUCGGUUUCAGGGCUCAGGCGGAAGCACACUGAAGUCAGUGGAAAAACUUCCAUUGAUUUCAGUGGGUAUUGAAUUAGGUCUUAAUUAUGGAGAAUGAAUCCUUUGUGGUCUUGGAAGUGCUUAUUUACAGGAGGUGAAGGACGCCCAUGAACUGCUCCUGGGAGAUGUGUACUGCUGCCAGCUAGGAUAAAAUAGACAGAGAUGUUUAGCUCUCCUUGUACUUCAUUGAGUAUGAGUAUAUCAGAAUGGACCAAUUCUUGAAUAAAACACAGAAAUAUUCCUGAAUUUAGGUAGGAACUGAUUUAUACUGGCAGAGUGGUUGAGUGCCAAAAUCUCUAAUUGUUUGCAAUAACAUUCUCUCUUUCUGGUCAGCAGGUCAGAUAAAUGGCUCCUAAAUUUAUCACAAAUCGUGUGCUCUCACAGAAUAUUCAUCCUUCUGUUUGAACAGCAGGCCUACUUUGAACUCCAUAGAUGAGGAUGGGGCUUCUGUCUGAGCUUGGUUCCUAGUCCUGCUAAAGACGCAUUUGUGUACAACUGGGAUCACAUAUUCUCUGUACUCCAUAAGUUAAAUUAAUUCAAAUUUCAAAUCUGUUACAAAACUGUAAGAAUGUCUUUAAAAAAAAACAGCUCUUGGCUGCAUACCUGAGAACUCAAUAAAACUUUUUUUUUUUAAUCCCUUUUGUUUUUAUCAUAAAAAAACAAUUAUGGCUUUAUAUUAAGUGAUGGUGACUUGAGGAUUUUACUUUCUAUGUACAUACUCUAAACAAAGGUGCAAAUUUGCUGUUGAAUUGCAGUAUUUUAGAAUCUCUAAUUUGUUUAUUUGUAUACCAUUUAGCAGAGAGGAAAAUAACUAUACUGACCAUUUUUGUUGUUGUUGUUGAUAACCAGUAAUCACUGAUACUUUAAAAAUGCUCUUCUCUAGUUGAAAAAAUAAUAAACCAGAUUUUGGCACUUGGGCAUGAAUAGAGACAGAAAGAGACAUACAUAUUUUCAAAGUAGAAAAACUCAGUAUGGAAGUUUGAAUUAUUUUUUUGAUCAAGAGCUAGAUAGCCUAUAAAGAGAGGUUGUAGUUUCACAAGGCAAUUCGUAAGCUUCAGGAGAAGACGUGAAUGCUCACCAGAAAUCUGAAGACCAGCCCAAGAGCUUCACAUAUGAAUGGAAAAAAAAACAGAAGGAAACGAAUGAAAGUUUAUGAUUUUGUCCAGGCCUUCACUCUUGUAUACAAAAGUUAGGAGUGUUUAAAAGUCAGAAUUUGUUUAUUUUUAUUAUGUCUUAUGUGCAUAAAGAGCUAAAGUCACCAAACAGAAAAGGCAGCUCUUCAUUGGGAUGCUGUCAGUCAGGUGAAGUUGUGUGAGAGACUGUUCCAAUUUCAGCACCAACAUUUGCAUAAAGGAUGAUGUUUCUAUUACCAGAAGAAAUAUCAACCAACAGGUCAUCAGCACCUGAGCUGUGACAUAAAAUUAGAUAUGGUUUAAAACCUUUUUGCCUUUUUGAAUUUAUUUGUAUUCAUUUAACAAUUCAUUAAUGUCGA